This 468-nucleotide ribosomal RNA is filed under the name uncultured bacterium. RNAcentral describes it as "partial 16S ribosomal RNA". It matches the Rfam family "Bacterial small subunit ribosomal RNA", at positions 28 to 507 of the family's 1533-position model. The record is from RNAcentral.
GACGAACGCUGGCGGCGUGCUUAACACAUGCAAGUCGAACGGAAAGGCCCUGCUUUUGUGGGGUGCUCGAGUGGCGAACGGGUGAGUAACACGUGAGUAACCUGCCCUUGACUUUGGGAUAACUUCAGGAAACUGGGGCUAAUACCGGAUAGGAGCUCCUGCUGCAUGGUGGGGGUUGGAAAGUUUCGGCGGUUGGGGAUGGACUCGCGGCUUAUCAGCUUGUUGGUGGGGUAGUGGCUUACCAAGGCUUUGACGGGUAGCCGGCCUGAGAGGGUGACCGGCCACCUUGGGACUGAGAUACGGCCCAGACUCCUACGGGAGGCAGAAGUGGGGAAUAUUGCACAAUGGGCGGAAGCCUGAUGCAGCAACGCCGCGUGCGGGAUGACGGCCUUCGGGUUGUAAACCGCUUUCGCCUGUGACGAAGCGUGAGUGACGGUAAUGGGUAAAGAAGCACCGGCUAACUACGUG